AGGAUAAACGCUGGCGGCGUGCCUAACACAUGCAAGUCGAACGUCCUUGCGGUCUUCUUCUUCGGAGGAGGACCGCGAGGGAGUGGCGGACGGGUGAGUAACACAUGGGUACCUGCCUUUCAGUGAGGAAUACCGGCGAGAAAUCGCCGACAAGACCGCAUAGGCUUCCUUCGGUAGCCCGAGGGAAGCAAAGUUACUUCGCGAGAAGUGACGCUGGAAGAGGGGCCUGUGGCCGAUUAGCUAGUUGGGGGGGUAACGGCCUCCCAAGGCGACGAUCGGUAGCUGGUCUGAGAGGACGAUCAGCCACACUGGGAUUGAGAACGGCCCAGACUCCUACGGGGGGCAGCAGUGAGGAAUUUUCCGCAAUGGACGAAAGUCUGACGGAGCAACGCCGCGUGCAGGAGGAAGGUUUUCGGAUCGUAAACUGCUUUUCUCGGGGACGAGCAAGGACGGUACCCGAGGAAGAAGCCCGGCUAACUACGUGCCAGCAGCCGCGGUAA
RNAcentral lists this ribosomal RNA (500 nucleotides) under uncultured bacterium. Its description in RNAcentral is "SSU rRNA". It matches the Rfam family "Bacterial small subunit ribosomal RNA", at positions 26 to 523 of the family's 1533-position model. The record is from RNAcentral.